GAGUUUGAUUAUGGCUCAGGACGAACGCUGGCGGCGUGCCUAAUACAUGCAAGUCGAACGAACGGAGAAAGAAGCUUGCUUUUUUCAAAGUUAGUGGCGAACGGGUGAGUAACACGUGGGUAACCUGCCCAUCAGAGGGGGAUAACAUUCGGAAACGGAUGCUAAAACCGCAUAGGUUCCUUAGUUGCAUGACUGAGGAAGGAAAAGAGGCGUAAGCUUCUGCUGGUGGAUGGACCCGCGGUGCAUUAGCUAGUUGGUGAGGUAACGGCUCACCAAGGCGAUGAUGCAUAGCCGACCUGAGAGGGUGAUCGGCCACAUUGGGACUGAGACACGGCCCAAACUCCUACGGGAGGCAGCAGUAGGGAAUCUUCCGCAAUGGACGCAAGUCUGACGGAGCAACGCCGCGUGAGUGAAGAAGGUUUUCGGAUCGUAAAACUCUGUUGUUAGAGAAGAAUAAGCAUAAUAGUAACUGAUUAU
Molecule: ribosomal RNA, 477 nt
Filed under: Granulicatella sp. canine oral taxon 095
Lineage: Bacteria; Bacillati; Bacillota; Bacilli; Lactobacillales; Carnobacteriaceae
Description: bacterial SSU rRNA
Rfam family: Bacterial small subunit ribosomal RNA
Source: RNAcentral